AUCUGCGUAUCAUCUCGGUGUCCCGCUUUUCCCCCAGUUCCCCAAGAGCGUCCUUCCUUUCCCUAGUCACAGGAUCGCAGUUUUGGUCUGAUAGCGCAUCCCCCUACCCCAGUGUUGCAUCCCCACUUCCCUCUUUCCAUCGAACGUGGUGGCCUUUCCUGGGGAUACCUUGGGUAUCCUCCCCUGGGAGAGCAAGCACAAGACACCAGGGAGCCAGACCCCUGCCGCUCCCCUGCCACAGGAUAUGUAUAGGAGCCUCAGCUGGUUUGAGCAGCUGGAUGUGCUUCUCAACGCUACUAAUGGAAAUGUGGUCCGGAUUAAGCAGUGGCUGUAUCCUCUUGGGGUCUCCACCGCAGAAUAGCACUGCUGUCACUCCUACAGUGCUG
This 386-nucleotide small RNA is filed under the name Pongo abelii (Sumatran orangutan). Its description in RNAcentral is "retained intron". The record is from RNAcentral. Lineage: Eukaryota; Metazoa; Chordata; Mammalia; Primates; Hominidae.